RNAcentral lists this ribosomal RNA (369 nucleotides) under uncultured bacterium. RNAcentral's name for it is "bacterial SSU rRNA". It matches the Rfam family "Bacterial small subunit ribosomal RNA", at positions 51 to 417 of the family's 1533-position model. The record is from RNAcentral.
ACACAUGCAGUCGAGCGGCAGCACAAGUGAGUUUACUCAUGAGGUGGCGAGCGGCGGACGGGUGAGUAAUGCCUAGGGAUCUGCCCAGUCGAGGGGGAUAACAGUUGGAAACGACUGCUAAUACCGCAUACGCCCUACGGGGGAAAGGAGGGGACCUUCGGGCCUUCCACGAUUGGAUGAACCUAGGUGGGAUUAGCUAGUUGGUGAGGUAAUGGCUCACCAAGGCGACGAUCCCUAGCUGUUCUGAGAGGAUGAUCAGCCACACUGGGACUGAGACACGGCCCAGACUCCUACGGGAGGCAGCAGUGGGGAAUAUUGCACAAUGGGGGAAACCCUGAUGCAGCCAUGCCGCGUGUGUGAAGAAGGCCU